ACGUAGGGGGCAAGCGUUAUCCGGAUUUACUGGGUGUAAAGGGAGCGUAGACGGAAAGGCAAGUCUGAUGUGAAAACCCGGGGCUCAACCCCGGGACUGCAUUGGAAACUGUUUUUCUAGAGUGUCGGAGAGGUAAGCGGAAUUCCUAGUGUAGCGGUGAAAUGCGUAGAUAUUAGGAGGAACACCAGUGGCGAAGGCGGCUUACUGGACGAUGACUGACGUUGAGGCUCGAAAGCGUGGGGAGCAAACAG
This 251-nucleotide ribosomal RNA is filed under the name uncultured bacterium. RNAcentral's name for it is "partial 16S ribosomal RNA". It matches the Rfam family "Bacterial small subunit ribosomal RNA", at positions 525 to 775 of the family's 1533-position model. The record is from RNAcentral.